GCGUCUUCAUUGCGAUGUAUUGUUUCCAGCUCCUUGCUUGAGUUGCUUGACACUGGAGGUGUAAACUAUAUUGGUUGCUGCAGAAGUUCUAAGCCUCAUAGCGUAAGACCAAUUUAUGCAUGUUUACAUAUGAUUUCUUGUACAUUAGGCAUUAAAUGUUAAAAUGAAGCUAAAACUUUAGUCUUAAUGUAAUGUCUACUCAUGUCCAAU
This 210-nucleotide long non-coding RNA is filed under the name Olea europaea (common olive). RNAcentral's name for it is "long non-coding RNA (OEUR_LNC011530)". The record is from RNAcentral. Lineage: Eukaryota; Viridiplantae; Streptophyta; Magnoliopsida; Lamiales; Oleaceae.